RNAcentral lists this long non-coding RNA (213 nucleotides) under Prunus persica (peach). RNAcentral's name for it is "long non-coding RNA (PPER_LNC000284)". Lineage: Eukaryota; Viridiplantae; Streptophyta; Magnoliopsida; Rosales; Rosaceae. The record is from RNAcentral.
AAUAGUCUGAUCUGAUGUUAUCCGAAACAUCACCAAACACAGUAUAACUUAGUCAGAUUAUUUAUCCAGAACAGCACCAAACGCCUUAUAAUAUUAUGAAUAAAUAGUCAGUACUUUCCGGAACAGAUUAAUACUAUUCGACGGAAAUUAGUCAGUACAGUCCGACGUACCAAACGAGCCCCAAUGGUGCAGUGGCUGCAACAUGCCAGUCAC